CUUUGAUCCAGAGAUUUCCGAAUGGGGAAACCCAGCAUGAGUUAUGUCAUGUUAUCGAUAUGUGAAUACAUAGCAUAUCAGAAGGCACACCCGGAGAACUGAAACAUCUUAGUACCCGGAGGAAGAGAAAGAAAAUUCGAUUCCCUUAGUAGCGGCGAGCGAAACGGGAAGAGCCCAAACCAACAAGCUUGCUUGUUGGGGUUGUAGGACACUCUAUACGGAGUUACAAAGGACGACAUUAGACGAAUCAUCUGGAAAGAUGAAUCAAAGAAGGUAAUAAUCCUGUAGUCGAAAAUGUUGUCUCUCUUGAGUGGAUCCUGAGUACGACGGAGCACGUGAAAUUCCGUCGGAAUCUGGGAGGACCAUCUCCUAAGGCUAAAUACUCUCUAGUGACCGAUAGUGAACCAGUACCGUGAGGGAAAGGUGAAAAGCACCCCGGAAGGGGAGUGAAAUAGAACCUGAAACCGUGUGCUUACAAGUAGUCAGAGCCCGUUAAUGGGUGAUGGCGUGCCUUUUGUAGAAUGAACCGGCGAGUUACGAUUUGAUGCAAGGUUAAGCAGUAAAUGUGGAGCCGUAGCGAAAGCGAGUCUGAAUAGGGCGUUUAGUAUUUGGUCGUAGACCCGAAACCAGGUGAUCUACCCUUGGUCAGGUUGAAGUUCAGGUAACACUGAAUGGAGGACCGAACCGACUUACGUUGAAAAGUGAGCGGAUGAACUGAGGGUAGCGGAGAAAUUCCAAUCGAACCUGGAGAUAGCUGGUUCUCUCCGAAAUAGCUUUAGGGCUAGCCUCAAGUGAUGAUUAUUGGAGGUAGAGCACUGUUUGGACGAGGGGCCCCUCUCGGGUUACCGAAUUCAGACAAACUCCGAAUGCCAAUUAAUUUAACUUGGGAGUCAGAACAUGGGUGAUAAGGUCCGUGUUCGAAAGGGAAACAGCCCAGACCACCAGCUAAGGUCCCAAAAUAUAUGUUAAGUGGAAAAGGAUGUGGCGUUGCCCAGACAACUAGGAUGUUGGCUUAGAAGCAGCCAUCAUUUAAAGAGUGCGUAAUAGCUCACUAGUCGAGUGACACUGCGCCGAAAAUGUACCGGGGCUAAACAUAUUACCGAAGCUGUGGAUUGUCCUUUGGACAAUGGUAGGAGAGCGUUCUAAGGGCGUUGAAGCAUGAUCGUAAGGACAUGUGGAGCGCUUAGAAGUGAGAAUGCCGGUGUGAGUAGCGAAAGACGGGUGAGAAUCCCGUCCACCGAUUGACUAAGGUUUCCAGAGGAAGGCUCGUCCGCUCUGGGUUAGUCGGGUCCUAAGCUGAGGCCGACAGGCGUAGGCGAUGGAUAACAGGUUGAUAUUCCUGUACCACCUAUA
RNAcentral lists this ribosomal RNA (1353 nucleotides) under Staphylococcus aureus. RNAcentral's name for it is "partial 23S ribosomal RNA". It matches the Rfam family "Bacterial large subunit ribosomal RNA", at positions 97 to 1452 of the family's 2925-position model. Lineage: Bacteria; Bacillati; Bacillota; Bacilli; Caryophanales; Staphylococcaceae. The record is from RNAcentral.